UCUGCCUUGGAGUGGGGAAUAACGGCUGGAAACAGCCGCUAAUACCGCAUGAUACAGCUGGGAGGCAUCUCCCUGGCUGUCAAAGAUUUAUCGCUCUGAGAUGAGCUCGCGUCUGAUUAGCUAGUUGGCGGGGUAACGGCCCACCAAGGCGACGAUCAGUAGCCGGACUGAGAGGUUGGCCGGCCACAUUGGGACUGAGACACGGCCCAGACUCUUACGGAAGGCAGCAG
RNAcentral lists this ribosomal RNA (230 nucleotides) under uncultured bacterium. RNAcentral's name for it is "partial 16S ribosomal RNA". It matches the Rfam family "Bacterial small subunit ribosomal RNA", at positions 125 to 354 of the family's 1533-position model. The record is from RNAcentral.